Molecule: long non-coding RNA, 662 nt
Organism: Tupaia belangeri chinensis (Chinese tree shrew)
Lineage: Eukaryota; Metazoa; Chordata; Mammalia; Scandentia; Tupaiidae
Exons: 3
Source: RefSeq, a predicted model, not a curated record
AUGCAUCCUAAAGCAAACUUAAGAACAAAAGAGAAGAGGGAGACAUCAAGGCCCAUGUACAGAAAGCUGGGGCUGCUUUUAUCACCGUGUGGGGGCAGGAGCUGUCUGCAAAGGUGGACAGGCCUCAGCCGCAGACACAGGCCUGGAGGGCCGUGGGACUGUUAGUCCAUCCACUCAGCGGACAGGACUGGACAUCUUCUGUGCCAGACUGCUGUUGCCGGAGUGAGCAAGAACAAAAAGGACGAGGUCAACAACAAAGACCCGAGAGGGCCUGGUCGCGUGGGAUUUCAGGCACCUCAGGAUCCCAGCCUCAGAGUCUGGAGGAGAAGAAUGUGACUGUGCACUUACUUGGUCAUCUCCUCUUCCACCCCAACACCCCAGAAGGUCACUUUUGGCGAUUCUAGGAGGACCAUAGAAGCCUGAUCUACCACUAGGAGGUAGGGAGAGUAACAACUGAAACAAAAGAGGGGCCAGAAGGUGGUGCAGUGGCAAUACAAUUGGACCUGCGUGGGAAGGUCCUGGGUUUGUAUCCCAAGGCCUCCCUGAACUAGCUGGGUCUGUGUGUGCCCAUGAUCCAGGCUGCCUGAGGCUGGGAGCAGAGUAUGCGUGAUGACCCUAUUGGGGGGCCUUGUUUCUCUCUCUCUCUCUUUUUUUAAGUUUUU